UAAAGAGCAAAACUGCUGAAAAGCAGUGACGCAAAGCGAAGAGCCUAAGGUGCUUUUGCACUAUGGUCGUCUGGUUGC
RNAcentral lists this non-coding RNA (78 nucleotides) under uncultured Ruminococcus sp. RNAcentral's name for it is "Cyclic di-GMP-I riboswitch". It matches the Rfam family "c-di-GMP-I riboswitch aptamer", at positions 6 to 83 of the family's 87-position model. From Rfam's summary of the family: GEMM was predicted in a large-scale screen for bacterial structured RNA regulatory elements. Lineage: Bacteria; Bacillati; Bacillota; Clostridia; Eubacteriales; Oscillospiraceae. The record is from RNAcentral.